This 642-nucleotide ribosomal RNA is filed under the name Anaplasma phagocytophilum. Its description in RNAcentral is "bacterial SSU rRNA". It matches the Rfam family "Bacterial small subunit ribosomal RNA", at positions 815 to 1456 of the family's 1533-position model. The record is from RNAcentral. Lineage: Bacteria; Pseudomonadati; Pseudomonadota; Alphaproteobacteria; Rickettsiales; Anaplasmataceae.
GCUGAAUGUGGGGAUAAUUUAUCUCCGUGUUGUAGCUAACGCGUUAAGCACUCCGCCUGGGGACUACGGUCGCAAGACUAAAACUCAAAGGAAUUGACGGGGACCCGCACAAGCGGUGGAGCAUGUGGUUUAAUUCGAUGCAACGCGAAAAACCUUACCACUCCUUGACAUGGAGAUUAGAUCCUUCUUAACGGAAGGGCGCAGUUCGGCUGGAUCUCGCACAGGUGCUGCAUGGCUGUCGUCAGCUCGUGUCGUGAGAUGUUGGGUUAAGUCCCGCAACGAGCGUAACCCUCAUCCUUAGUUGCCAGCGGGUAAUGCCGGGCACUUUAAGGAAACUGCCGGUGGUAAACUGGAGGAAGGUGGGGAUGAUGUCAAGUCAGCACGGCCCUUAUGGGGUGGGCUACACACGUGCUACAAUGGUGACUACAAUAGGUUGCAAUGUCGCAAGGCUGAGCUAAUCCGUAAAAGUCAUCUCAGUUCGGAUUGUCCUCUGCAACUCGAGGGCAUGAAGUCGGAAUCGCUAGUAAUCGUGGAUCAGCAUGCCACGGUGAAUACGUUCUCGGGUCUUGUACACACUGCCCGUCACGCCAUGGGAAUUGGCUUAACUCGAAGCUGGUGCGCUAACCGAAAGGAAGCAGCCAU